GCUACCUGGUUGAUCCUGCCAGUAGUCAU
This 29-nucleotide ribosomal RNA is filed under the name Sempervivum armenum. Its description in RNAcentral is "partial 18S ribosomal RNA". Lineage: Eukaryota; Viridiplantae; Streptophyta; Magnoliopsida; Saxifragales; Crassulaceae. The record is from RNAcentral. RNAcentral also lists the same sequence under 32 other names.